CGGAGGGAUCAUUGCUGGAACGCGCCUCGGCGCACCCAGAAACCCUUUGUGAACUUAUACCCAUACUGUUGCCUCGGCGCAGGCCGGCCUUUUUCGAUAAAGGCCCCCUGGAGACAGGGAGCAGCCCGCCGGCGGCCAACCAAACUCUGUUUCUAUAGUGAAUCUCUGAGUAAAAAAACAUAAAUGAAUCAAAACUUUCAACAACGGAUCUCUUGGUUCUGGCAUCGAUGAAGAACGCAGCGAAAUGCGAUAAGUAAUGUGAAUUGCAGAAUUCAGUGAAUCAUCGAAUCUUUGAACGCACAUUGCGCCCUCUGGCAUUCCGGAGGGCAUGCCUGUUCGAGCGUCAUUUCAACCCUCAAGCCUGGCUUGGUGAUGGGGCACUGCCCGUGAAAGGGCAGGCCCUGAAAUCUAGUGGCGAGCUCGCCAGGACCCCGAGCGCAGUAGUUACAUCUCGCUCUGGAAGGCCCUGGCGGUGCCCUGCCGUAAAACCCCCAACUUCUGAAAAUUUGACCUCGGAUCAGGUAGGAAUACCCGCUGAACUUAAGCAUAUCAAUAAGCGGAGGAAAAGAAACCAACAGGGAUUGCCCUAGUAACGGCGAGUGAAGCGGCAACAGCUCAAAUUUGAAAUCUGGCCUCGGCCCGAGUUGUAAUUUGCAGAGGAUGCUUCUGGCGCGGUGCCUUCCGAGUUCCCUGGAACGGGACGCCACAGAGGGUGAGAGCCCCGUAUGGUCGGACACCAAGCCUGUGUGAAGCUCCUUCNACGAGUCNAGUAGUUUGGGAAUGCUGCUCUAAAUGGGAGGUAAAUCUCUUCUAAAGCUAAAUACCGGCCAGAUACCGAUACCCCACAAUUAGAGUGAUCGAAAG
RNAcentral lists this ribosomal RNA (864 nucleotides) under Phomopsis diachenii. Its description in RNAcentral is "eukaryotic LSU rRNA". The stretch from base 508 to 864 matches the Rfam family "Eukaryotic large subunit ribosomal RNA", at positions 1 to 363 of the family's 3401-position model. Lineage: Eukaryota; Fungi; Ascomycota; Sordariomycetes; Diaporthales; Diaporthaceae. The record is from RNAcentral.